This is a long non-coding RNA of Carassius gibelio (silver crucian carp), 1395 nucleotides long. RefSeq lists it as uncharacterized. Lineage: Eukaryota; Metazoa; Chordata; Actinopteri; Cypriniformes; Cyprinidae. The transcript is spliced from 3 exons. The record is from RefSeq and is a predicted model, not a curated record.
AAAAGCAUCAGAAAACAGAUUGACAGUUGAAGGACUAAAUGAAUGACAAAAGCGAGCUGGGGCACUAGGUUAAGGAUUACAAGAAAGAUAACUGUCAAUAGAACAGGCAUGUGGUCAGAGAAGGUAGCAUCACAUAGCUCAAUACUGCAAACAGGAAACUCAUACGACAAAAACAGAUCUAAUGUAUGCCCUAUCUAUUUAUCUAACUCUGGUGGUUCAGUGAGAAGGUGCGCUCUGUAUGUUUGGGGUGGAGUCUCUUUUUGCCCAAAGGUGAAAAGACAUUCUGAAGCUUCAUUACUCAGAUUUCCUACUGCAAUGGUUCGGACCACAUCACCAGGAUUUUACCUCUCAUGGAACCAAACUUCAUCUGCACCCCUUUUGUCUGUAACACAAUGGAUCAGUUAUACGCUAUAUUGCAUCUGUACUAUUAUUGUGAUGGUGUUUUUGUUUCAUUGCUUUCGUGGAUUCCGCAAGAGAUGCAGGCGAGACUGUAAAACAGGUACGAUAUUAUUAUAAUAAUUACAAUGAUUAACUUCCUUUUUAACACAGAAAAUAGUAACUGCUAUUUUGAACAGGAGAAGUCACACUGGAGGUGGGCAACACUUCUCAUCCAAACACCGGAUCAGAAAACAUAAAGGCAAGUACUGUAGAGUAUUAGAAAAGAAAGAGAGCUUUAUCUUCAAAGAUACUCAUAUGAGUAAGAUUCUGUAGAAAUGAGCGGUUCUCUUGUGUUUAGGAUGAGCAAUACUCAUUGUCAGCAGUCCAAGAAAACCCCAGUGUCAGGAUGAGCUCUGUCUACCAGAGCCUGAUCCCCUCUGCUACUGAGAGACAGUCAGUCUAUGAGAGUCUUGAUCAAGAGAGGUCUCUAGACAUUUAUGAGAAUUUUGAGUGAUGGUAUAAUGCACAGACUGGUAAACUUAAUAUAAAGUGUAUUUACCUACUAUAUACUUACAUAUAAUCAUUUAUUACAAUGCACUUAUUCUGCACAUACAUGUUUUUACAUUGUACUUAUUUAAAAAUACUCUCUAUGUAAUUUAUGUAGUUUCAUGCAUAAUUAGACUGCUGACCCUUUCCUAAAACUUAACCCACCCUUGAACCUAACCUGUCCCUAACCUCAACCUUGUGCCAUCUCAAAGUGAUUUGCCAAAUGUGGUUUCAUUAAUAAAUAUCAAAAUAUACUGCCAUAUAAAAUCCAAUAAUGUGCCUUCUUGAUUGUGUUUAAAGUGAUUUUAGAGAGUAUACUUGUCCUUUUCAGGAAAUGCCUUUUGGACUCACAGCUGCAGCUAUACUUUGCUAUUUAAAAUACCAAUAUAUAUAGGUAGAAAAAAAAAAGUUGAUACAUUGGAAAUAAAACAUGGCUAGGAUCACUCACUAUUGUUUGGCAAUCCCUCCUCC